GACGAACGCUGGCGGCGUGCUUAACACAUGCAAGUCGAACGGAAAGGCCUGCUUUCCCUUGUGGAUUGCGGGUACUCGAGUGGCGAACGGGUGAGUAACACGUGAGUGAUCUGCCCCCAACUUGGGUAUAAGCCUGGGAAACUGGGUCUAAUCCCCGAUAGGACUGCAGGGUGGUGCCUGUGGUGGAAAACGAUUUUCUAGUGGUUGGGGAUGAGCUCGCGGCCUAUCAGCUUGUUGGUGGGGUAAUGGCCUACCAAGGCGGCGACGGGUAGCCGGCCUGAGAGGGUGGACGGCCACAUUGGGACUGAGAUACGGCCCAGACUCCUACGGGAGGCAGCAGUGGGGAAUAUUGCACAAUGGGCGGAAGCCUGAUGCAGCGACGUCGCGUGGGGGAUGACGGCCUUCGGGUUGUAAACUCCUUUCGACCGCGAGGAAGCCACCUGGUUGGAAGGGUGGUGACGGUAGUGGUAGAAGAAGCACCGGCUAACUACGUG
Molecule: ribosomal RNA, 494 nt
Filed under: uncultured bacterium
Lineage: Bacteria
Description: partial 16S ribosomal RNA
Rfam family: Bacterial small subunit ribosomal RNA
Source: RNAcentral